AUACGGAGGGUGCGAGCGUUAUCCGGAUUUAUUAGGUUUAAAGGGUGUGUAGGCGGGAGCCUAAGUCAGUGGUGAAAUCUCACAGCUUAACUGUGAAACUGCCAUUGAAACUGGGUUUCUUGAGUAUAGUUGAGGUAGGCGGAAUGUGUAAUGUAGCGGUGAAAUGCAUAGAUAUUACACAGAACACCGAUUGCGAAGGCAGCUCACUAAGCUAUUACUGACGCUGAUGCACGAAAGCGUGGGUAGCGAACAGGAUUAGAAACCCCUGUAGUCC
This 274-nucleotide ribosomal RNA is filed under the name uncultured bacterium. Its description in RNAcentral is "partial 16S ribosomal RNA". It matches the Rfam family "Bacterial small subunit ribosomal RNA", at positions 523 to 796 of the family's 1533-position model. The record is from RNAcentral.